This 404-nucleotide ribosomal RNA is filed under the name uncultured bacterium. RNAcentral's name for it is "bacterial SSU rRNA". It matches the Rfam family "Bacterial small subunit ribosomal RNA", at positions 355 to 776 of the family's 1533-position model. The record is from RNAcentral.
UGGGGAAUAUUGCACAAUGGGGGAAACCCUGAUGCAGCGACGCCGCGUGAAGGAAGAAGUAUUUCGGUAUGUAAACUUCUAUCAGCAAGGAAGAUAAUGACGGUACUUGACUAAGAAGCCCCGGCUAACUACGUGCCAGCAGCCGCGGUAAUACGUAGGGGGCAAGCGUUAUCCGGAUUUACUGGGUGUAAAGGGAGCGUAGGUGGCAUGGCAAGUCAGAUGUGAAAGCCCGGGGCUCAACCCCGGGACUGCAUUUGAAACUGCCAGGCUGGAGUGCAGGAGAGGUAAGUGGAAUUCCUAGUGUAGCGGUGAAAUGCGUAGAUAUUAGGAGGAACACCAGUGGCGAAGGCGGCUUACUGGACUGUAACUGACACUGAGGCUCGAAAGCGUGGGGAGCAAACAGG